GGCCUCGUAACUCGGCUGGUAGAGCCUGCGCUUUACUAACGCAUGGGCGCCGUGUAUGCGUAGGUUCGAAUCCCACCGAGGCUG
RNAcentral lists this transfer RNA (84 nucleotides) under Echinostoma caproni. It matches the Rfam family "tRNA". Rfam says of the family: Transfer RNA (tRNA) molecules are approximately 80 nucleotides in length. Their secondary structure includes four short double-helical elements and three loops (D, anti-codon, and T loops). Further hydrogen bonds mediate the characteristic L-shaped molecular structure. tRNAs have two regions of fundamental functional importance: the anti-codon, which is responsible for specific mRNA codon recognition, and the 3' end, to which the tRNAs corresponding amino acid is attached (by aminoacyl-tRNA synthetases). tRNAs cope with the degeneracy of the genetic code in two manners: having more than one tRNA (with a specific anti-codon) for a particular amino acid; and 'wobble' base-pairing, i.e. permitting non-standard base-pairing at the 3rd anti-codon position. The record is from Rfam by way of RNAcentral. Lineage: Eukaryota; Metazoa; Platyhelminthes; Trematoda; Plagiorchiida; Echinostomatidae.